Molecule: ribosomal RNA, 468 nt
Filed under: uncultured bacterium
Lineage: Bacteria
Description: partial 16S ribosomal RNA
Rfam family: Bacterial small subunit ribosomal RNA
Source: RNAcentral
GACGAACGCUGGCGGCGUGCUUAACACAUGCAAGUCGAACGGAAAGGCCCUGCUUUUGUGGGGUGCUCGAGUGGCGAACGGGUGAGUAACACGUGAGUAACCUGCCCUUGACUUUGGGAUAACUUAAGGAAACUGGGGGUAAUACCGGAUAGGAGUUCCUGCUGCAUGGUGGGGGUUGGAAAGUUUAGGUGGUUGGGGAUGGACUCGCGGCUUAUCAGCUUGUUGGUGGGGUAGUGGCUUACCAAGGCUUUGAAGGGUAGCCGGCCUGAUAGGGUGACCGGCCACGUUGGGACGGGAAUACGGCCCAGACUCCUACGGGAGGCAGCAGUGGGGAGUAGUGCACAAUGGGCGGAAGCCUGAUGCAGCAACGCCGCGUGCGGUAUGACGGCAUUCGGGUUGUAAACCGCUUUCGCCUGUGACGAAGCGUGAGUGACGGUAAUGGGUAAAGAAGCACCGGCUAACUACGUG